AGAACGAACGCUGGCGGCGUGGAUAAGACAUGCAAGUCGAACGCGACUUAUUUUGUUAGCAAUAACAGAGUAAGUUGAGUGGCGAAAGGGUGCGUAACACGUGGGAAUUUACCAAGAAGUGGGGAAUAGCUCGACGAAAGUCGAAUUAAUACCGCAUGUGAUCGAAAGAUCAAAGUCGGGGACCGCAAGGCCUGACGCUUUUUGAGAAGCCCGCGGCCCAUCAGCUAGUUGGUGAGGUAAUGGCUCACCAAGGCUAUGACGGGUAGCUGGUCUGAGAGGACGACCAGCCACACUGGAACUGAGACACGGUCCAGACACCUACGGGUGGCAGCAGUCGAGAAUUUUUCACAAUGGACGAAAGUCUGAUGGAGCGACGCCGCGUGGAGGAUGAAGGUUCUUGGAUUGUAAACUCCUGUCACUGCAGAACAAGGGUGCGCUCGUAAUAGCAAGCGCAUUUGAUGGUAUGCGGAGAGGAAGGGACGGCU
RNAcentral lists this ribosomal RNA (485 nucleotides) under uncultured bacterium. Its description in RNAcentral is "SSU rRNA". It matches the Rfam family "Bacterial small subunit ribosomal RNA", at positions 26 to 498 of the family's 1533-position model. The record is from RNAcentral.